Molecule: ribosomal RNA, 423 nt
Filed under: uncultured bacterium
Lineage: Bacteria
Description: bacterial SSU rRNA
Rfam family: Bacterial small subunit ribosomal RNA
Source: RNAcentral
AAGACCUUGCGCUUUUGGAGCGGCCGAUGUCUGAUUAGCUAGUUGGUGGGGUAAUGGCCUACCAAAGCUUCGAUCAGUAGCUGGUCUGAGAGGACGGCCAGCCACACUGGGACUGAGACACGGCCCAGACUCCUACGGGAGGCAGCAGUGGGGAAUUUUGGACAAUGGGCGCAAGCCUGAUCCAGCCAUGCCGCGUGAGUGAAGAAGGCCUUCGGGUUGUAAAGCUCUUUCAGCCGGGAAGAAAAGGCUGCGACUAAUAAUCGCAGUUCAUGACGGUACCGGAAGAAGAAGCACCGGCUAACUACGUGCCAGCAGCCGCGGUAAUACGUAGGGUGCGAGCGUUAAUCGGAAUUACUGGGCGUAAAGGGUGCGCAGGCGGUUUUGUAAGUCAGAUGUGAGAUCCCCGGGCUUAACCUGGGAACU